UUGAUCCUGGCUCAGAAUCAACGCUGGCGGCGCGCUUAACACAUGCAAGUCGCACGAGAAAGCAGUAGCAAUAUUGUGAGUACAGUGGCGUACGGGUGAUUAACACGUGGAUCAUCUACCUUCUAGUGGGGAAUACCCCCGGGAAACUGUGGACAAUACCGCAUAAGCUCGUAAGAGGAAAGCAGCAAUGCGCUGGAAGUGGAGUCCGCGGCUGAUUAGCUAGUUGGCGGGGUAAUGGCCCACCAAGGCUAAGAUCGGUAGCCGGCCUGAGAGGGCACACGGCCACACUGGCACUGAAAUACGGGCCAGACUCCUACGGGAGGCAGCAGUGGGGAAUCUUGCACAAUGGUGGAAACUCUGAUGCAGCGACGCCGCGUGAGCGAUGAAGCCCUUCGGGGUUUAAAGCUCUUUCGACGGGAACGAUAAUGACGGUACCCGAAGAAGAAGCUUCGGCUAACUACGUGCCAGCAGCCGCGGUAAUU
RNAcentral lists this ribosomal RNA (482 nucleotides) under uncultured Acidobacteriota bacterium. RNAcentral's name for it is "bacterial SSU rRNA". It matches the Rfam family "Bacterial small subunit ribosomal RNA", at positions 13 to 525 of the family's 1533-position model. The record is from RNAcentral. Lineage: Bacteria; Pseudomonadati; Acidobacteriota.